RNA transcript from Daucus carota subsp. sativus, 1866 nucleotides. It is a transcript of the gene named heterogeneous nuclear ribonucleoprotein 1, with no coding region annotated. The transcript is spliced from 3 exons. The record is from RefSeq and is a predicted model, not a curated record. Lineage: Eukaryota; Viridiplantae; Streptophyta; Magnoliopsida; Apiales; Apiaceae.
UCACAAGUCCAUUUCUUUCUCUCUCUCCGCCUCUCACUCCUCACUCCAAACCCCCAUUUUCUCCUGCACAGAUUUCGAGGAGGAGAUGGAUUCAGAUCAAGGCAAGCUUUUCAUUGGUGGGAUUUCAUGGGAAACAAGUGAGGAGAAGCUCACUGAGUAUUUUAGUAGUUAUGGAGAAGUUGUGCAAACAUCUGUCAUGAGAGAUAAGAUUACUGGCAAGCCCAGAGGGUUUGGUUUUGUUGCUUUUGCAGAUCCUUCUGUUCUUGAUGCUGUUCUUCAAGAUACCCAUGUCAUUGAUGGAAGAACGGUUGAGGCCAAGAGGGCCAUGUCAAGAGAGGAGCAACAGGUAUCGAAAAGUGGAAAUGCUAGUGCUGGUAGAAACUUUGGAGGCGGUGGAAGUGACAGGACAAAGAAAAUAUUUGUUGGGGGCUUACCUCCAACAAUGAGCGAGGAUGAAUUUCGCCUGUAUUUUCAAUCAUAUGGCAAUGUAACUGAUGUGGUUGUCAUGUAUGAUCAGCAGACUAAUCGACCACGUGGAUUUGGGUUUAUAUCAUUUGACUCUGAGGACGCAGUUGAUCGGGUUUUGCACAAGACCUUUCAUGAUUUGGGUGGAAAACAAGUCGAAGUUAAAAGGGCUCUUCCCAAAGAUGGGGGCGGUGGCGGCCGUUCCAUGGGUGGAGGUGGUGGAGGUUAUCAGGGUUAUGGCUCUUCAGGUGGCAAUUCAAGUUCUUACGAAGGCCGCGAUUCCAACAGGUACAUGCAGUCUCAGAAUACUGGUGGUGGAUUUCCAUCAUACGGCUCUUCUGGAUAUGGUGCAUCAGGUUAUUGGUAUGGUAACAGCAAUGGCAUGGGUUCUGGUGGGUAUGGUAGUUAUGCUGGUGCAAAUCCUGGAUACGGUGGCCCAGCUGGUGGGGCAUAUGGUAACCCUAAUGUACCCAAUGUUGGUUAUGGUAGUGGUCCUCCUGGUGCACCCAGAAAUGCAUACGGCACUCAGGCUGCCUCAGGAUAUGGUAACAUGGGUUACGGAAAUACUCCUUGGGGUGCUUCUGGUGGCUCUGCUGGUGGUCCUGGUGGUGCAGCACCCACAGGUCAAUCUCCAAGCGGGGCUGCUGGUUAUGGGAAUCAAGGUUAUGGGAAUGGAGGAUAUGGGGGAGCUGAUGGAUCUUAUGGAAAUCCAGCUGCAUAUGGUGCAGUUGGUGGUCGGCUUGGAAGUGGCCCAAAUAGCAAUCCUUCUGCUGGUGGCGAGCUGCAACCUAGUGGUGGAGGAUACAUGGGAGGUAGCUAUGGUGAUGCGAAUGGAAAUUCAGGAUAUGGAUCUGGAAAUUAUGGAGCUCAGGUAGGACCUAAUGGAGGGCAAGUUGGAUAUGGUGGUGGAUACGGCGGUGCUCCCACUCGACAGAUGCAGCAGCAGUGAUGAUAUUAUUUUAUCUGAGACUUUUUAUAAAGACCCGUAGUGAUGCUUUACUGUGCUGGCCUCGGGUCUUCAUGCUGGAUGAAUCCACACUGCGGGGAGGAGAUGAUCAAUAAUGAAAGUGAUGUGUCCUGGCUAAACAUGAGCUUCAUUGCUGGGGAUGUAUUUAACAAUGAUUUGGAAGUUACACAGUGAACUAUGCAAAAUCAUGCUGAAGCCAGGCUAUGAAGAUCUGGCAGUAUCGUGGAUCAAGUCAAGUUUUGAGAGCUGCCAUUUGUGGUAUGUGGCUCUCUGCAGUAGCUAGAAAGAUUUAUAAAUAUAGUUCGACACCACAUUGGGCUAUUUAGUAAAGGAUAUUAGAGUUAUAGUUGGUCUGAGACUCUGGACUUCAGUACUCAACAAUCAGAUACAAAUUUUAUUAUUUAUUACAGUACAACACUCUGGUCCUCUUACCA